UACGGGGGGGGCAAGCGUUGUUCGGAAUUACUGGGCGUAAAGGGCUCGUAGGUGGCCAACUAAGUCAUACGUGAAAUCCCUCGGCUUAACCGGGGAACUGCGUCUGAUACUGGAUGGCUUGAGGUUGGGAGAGGGAUGCGGAAUUCCAGGUGUAGCGGUGAAAUGCGUAGAUAUCUGGAGGAACACCGGUGGCGAAGGCGGCAUCCUGGACCGGCAUUGACGCUGAGGAGCGAAAGCCAGGGGAGCAAACGGG
RNAcentral lists this ribosomal RNA (253 nucleotides) under uncultured bacterium. RNAcentral's name for it is "partial 16S ribosomal RNA". It matches the Rfam family "Bacterial small subunit ribosomal RNA", at positions 524 to 776 of the family's 1533-position model. The record is from RNAcentral.